Molecule: ribosomal RNA, 1382 nt
Filed under: uncultured bacterium
Lineage: Bacteria
Description: bacterial SSU rRNA
Rfam family: Bacterial small subunit ribosomal RNA
Source: RNAcentral
GAUGAACGCUGGCGGCGUGCCUAAUACAUGCAAGUCGAACGCAUUAUCUUCACCGAGUGCUUGCACUCACCGAAGAUAAUGAGUGGCGAACGGGUGAGUAACACGUGGGUAACCUGCCCAAAAGAGGGGGAUAACACUUGGAAACAGGUGCUAAUACCGCAUAAUUUGUUAAACCGCAUGGUUUGAUAAUGAAAGACGGCGUAAGCUGUCACUUUUGGAUGGACCCGCGGCGUAUUAGCUAGUUGGUGAGGUAAAGGCCCACCAAGGCAAUGAUACGUAGCCGACCUGAGAGGGUGAUCGGCCACAUUGGGACUGAGACACGGCCCAAACUCCUACGGGAGGCAGCAGUAGGGAAUCUUCCACAAUGGACGAAAGUCUGAUGGAGCAACGCCGCGUGAGUGAAGAAGGUUUUCGGAUCGUAAAGCUCUGUUGUUAGAGAAGAAUGUAGGUAAGAGUAACUGUUUACCUAGUGACGGUAUCUAACCAGAAAGCCACGGCUAACUACGUGCCAGCAGCCGCGGUAAUACGUAGGUGGCAAGCGUUAUCCGGAUUUAUUGGGCGUAAAGCGAACGCAGGCGGUUUUUUAAGUCUGAUGUGAAAGCCUUCGGCUCAACCGAAGGAAACGCAUUGGAAACUGGAUAACUUGAGUGCAGAAGAGGAGAGUGGAACACCAUGUGUAGCGGUGAAAUGCGUAGAUAUAUGGUAGAACACCAGUGGCGAAAGCGGCUCUCUGGUCUGUAACUGACGCUGAGGUUCAAAAGCAUGGGUAGCAAACAGGAUUAGAUACCCUGGUAGUCCAUGCCGUAAACGAUGAGUGCUAAGUGUUGGAGGGUUUCCGCCCUUCAGUGCUGCAGCUAACGCAUUAAGCACUCCGCCUGGGGAGUACGACCGCAAGGUUGAAACUCAAAGGAAUUGACGGGGGCCCGCACAAGCGGUGGAGCAUGUGGUUUAAUUCGAAGCAACGCGAAGAACCUUACCAGGUCUUGACAUCUUCUGACAAACCUAGAGAUAGGCCGUUCCCUUCGGGGACAGAAUGACAGGUGGUGCAUGGUUGUCGUCAGCUCGUGUCGUGAGAUGUUGGGUUAAGUCCCGCAACGAGCGCAACCCUUAUUAUUAGUUGCCAGCAUUUAGUUGGGCACUCUAAUGAGACUGCCGGUGACAAACCGGAGGAAGGUGGGGAUGACGUCAAAUCAUCAUGCCCCUUAUGACCUGGGCUACACACGUGCUACAAUGGACGGUACAACGAGUUGCGAGACCGCGAGGUUAAGCUAAUCUCUUAAAGCCGUUCUCAGUUCGGAUUGUAGGCUGCAACUCGCCUACAUGAAGUUGGAAUCGCUAGUAAUCGCGGAUCAGAAUGCCGCGGUGAAUACGUUCCCGGGCCU